RNAcentral lists this ribosomal RNA (57 nucleotides) under Pestalotiopsis photiniae. RNAcentral's name for it is "partial 28S ribosomal RNA". The record is from RNAcentral. Lineage: Eukaryota; Fungi; Ascomycota; Sordariomycetes; Amphisphaeriales; Sporocadaceae.
UUGACCUCGGAUCAGGUAGGAAUACCCGCUGAACUUAAGCAUAUCAAUAAGGAGGGA